Molecule: long non-coding RNA, 2251 nt
Organism: Amaranthus tricolor (Joseph's coat)
Lineage: Eukaryota; Viridiplantae; Streptophyta; Magnoliopsida; Caryophyllales; Amaranthaceae
Exons: 7
Source: RefSeq, a predicted model, not a curated record
CGGCCAUUCAUGUGCCGUCUUUCCUUCUCUUCGCUUCCAUUCCCUUCUCCAGCCAUCGCCUGCUCGUAGGCCACUUGUUCUCUCAUCAGUCUCUUCGUUCGACCAUCUGAUUAAUGUACGGUUUUUCUAUCUCGAUCUCUCUUUCUCCAUCUGUUUGGUGCCGUCUGUCCGUCUCUUCGCUUCCAUUCCCUUCUCCGGCCACCGUCUGCUCGUAGGCCACUUGUUCUCUUAUCAGUCUCUUCGUUCGACCAUCUAAUUAAUAUUAUUACAUAAUCCACGAAAUCAAGGUACUAAUAUACAAUGCAUCUUUUCAGAGACGAAAUUGUCCCCGAGAUUGAGACCUCGAAUAAUAAGAAUCAUAGUUACGACACUUAAGAGGACCAAAUUGUGAGAUACGAGCGUAUGGAUGAAGACGCUCCACCACUUGACAAUGAUUUUGAGACUGAAGACGCCUCACCAAUGGAUGCUCCCACUAAUAGUAAGAAAAGAAAAGGGCAAGGUCCUAUGAAAAACCUCAAAGUCACAAAACUCAUGCAUUUGGAAUACAAUGUAUUGGGUCAAACUUGCGGAAAAUCGCGUAGGCAAUAUGGAAAAGAAGUGAGCCUAUGUAUCCGCAAGAUUUCCAUAUUGUACGCAUGGAACGAGGUUCUAGAGGGUUUGAAAAACUCUAUAUGGAAUGAUACUGUGAGAUGAGGAGAAGAAGAAUGUGUUUCUUUCAGCAACAGCUGAAACAUUCAUAGAUUUCAAAUCCAAGCUAGUAACUAGCUGGAUCACGAACAAGCGUGCCCGUACGACCAAAAAGGUCAAAACGGGAAACGAAGGUGGAGAGCAAGCCUUCGAAGAUGCCCUACGAAAUAUGGGGUCACAUAUCAAAGAGGGAAUGACUUUUGUUGCCAAAAAGAACAACUCCCAUUAAAGUUGAAAAGCGUGGUAAAGCUUCUGAAUCAGCAAGCAAAAGAAAGUUUUACCAUCGCUUGGGCCAAAAAGAGUACAAUGAGGUUCGAAAACAAUGGGUGGAUGCGGGUUUAUACCCCAAUCAAAGUCCAUUCACGUCCUCAUCUACGACUACCUCUGCAUCCGUGAAUACACCUGCUGGAGAUCGGGUGCGAGAUUGGUAUUGCAGGCUUAAUUCCCGAGACGCAAGUGGUAAAUAUACUAUUAAUGAUCCGGGAACGAAGAAGGUUGUUGAUACUUUGAUGGGCUGGAAGGAAAAAUAAGCUACGGGGAAGUUCACCCCAAGAGACAAUGUUGACGCAUUGCAUAUGGUCUUAGGGAAAACCAUAGAGGGCGAGUAGUUGGAAAAGGAGGCAUCCGCGUGGGGUUUAAGAAGGCAUUCGGAAAAGAGUGUUGCUAUUCAAUCCCGAACGAUGCCACCUGUUAAAGUGGCACUUGUGUUGCAGAAGAUGGGAGCACCCACUGUUGACUUCGCAAACCUGAUUGUCGAGGAUCAGUAAAGCCAACAUGGGGAUCCUAAUGCUUCGGUCGAGACAACACCUGAGCCCAUUACCCCCGUAGCACCCCAGCCCAUUGCUACCCCUGAAGGGGCAAACCCCACACCGGAGACCAUGUACUCCGUUGCUCAAAAUCCAGAGCCAGUGGUACAGGGGGCGACUCCUUGUUCUCUUUUGCUGCCUCAGUUAGGUGUUGCUAGUGAUGGCGAUUUAACUAAGGUUGCAUAUGGUUUGUUAGAAUUGUAAAUCAUAAUCAUAUGCUAGAAAUUACAUGUUAAACUGCGAUUUUAAGGGUUUUAACCGUUUUUGGCACUUUUGCGCAUAAAGUAGCUCAAACUUGGUUUGUUUUGCACGAAACUUGGCACACAAGACUAUUUGUUAUAUAUUAUUGUGUUGAAGUGAUUAGAAUUGUAAAUCAUAAUCAUAUGCUAGAAAUUACGUGUUAAGUUGCGAUUUUAAGGGUUUUUUAAGCGUUUUUGGCACCUUUGCGCAUCAAGUAGCUCAUACUUGGUGUGUUUUGCACGAAACUUGACACACAACAUUAUUUGGUAUAUAUUAUUGUGAUGAAGUGGUUAGCAUUGAAAAUCAUAAUCAUAUGCUAGAAAUUACGUAUUAAGUUACGAUUUUUUGGGUUUUUUUAAGUGUUUUUGUCACUUUCGCGCAUAAAGUAGCUGAAACUUGGUUUGUUUUGCACGAAACUUGGCACACAACACUAUUUGGUAUAUAUUAUUGUGAUAGUAAUAUGCUAGAAAUUACGUGUUAAGUUGCGAUUUUAAGGGUUUUUAAGCGUUUUUGGCACU